Molecule: non-coding RNA, 531 nt
Organism: Danio rerio (zebrafish)
Lineage: Eukaryota; Metazoa; Chordata; Actinopteri; Cypriniformes; Danionidae
Source: Ensembl
ACUUACAUUACUUUACAACUGCUUAAUGCAGUACUGAUGUAUCUAGUAGUUAAGUGGGUUUAACUAAUGUCACAUCUGUUUUUAUUCAUUUCAGAUGCAGAAACUUUUGACAUAUGAAUUCAUCUUGACUAAGGAACUCUUCACAGCACUGCAUCUGAACAGUCACAACCUCACAGAGCUGCACAACUGCCCCACUCAAGAUCAGUGUUGAAGCUGGAACCUCGUCUUGUGUACAGCAAAGGCAGAGCUGAAAAUUCACUGUUUGUCUUGUAUUGUGUGUGGCAAGACCUGGAAUAACACCUGGGAGCCCUCCAGGAAUUCCUGACACUUUACGCACAAGUCUCCUCAUGCUAACCGGAUUGCAAUAUGACAGUCUAGUCAGCAUAAACACCUGGACUCACCAAGCACACUUUGGUUCUCAGUGUUUUGUAUAAAUUGUUUUUGCUAUUCUUCAGUAAAUACUUUUGAUGUUUAAGUUCAAAAAGUUGUUAUUAUAAACAUAAUUUGCAUUUGUGAUGAACUUGACUUGUU